This is a non-coding RNA of Cimex lectularius (bed bug), 74 nucleotides long. The record is from the annotation of a RefSeq genome assembly. NCBI's taxonomy places the organism in Eukaryota, Metazoa, Arthropoda, Insecta, Hemiptera, Cimicidae.
GUCACGGUGGCUCUGGUGGUUAGAGUGUCAGGUUAUAGUGCUGAAGACCGUGGGUUCGAAUCCCAUCUGUAACA